UUAAGCGACUAAGCGUACACGGUGGAUGCCCUGGCAGUCAGAGGCGAUGAAGGGCGUGCUAAUCUGCGAUAAGCGCCGGUAAGGUGAUAUGAACCGUUAUAACCGGCGAUACCCGAAUGGGGAAACCCAGUGUGAUUCGUCACACUAUCAUUAACUGAAUCCAUAGGUUAAUGAGGCGAACCGGGGGAACUGAAACAUCUAAGUACCCCGAGGAAAAGAAAUCAACCGAGAUUCCCCCAGUAGCGGCGAGCGAACGGGGAGGAGCCCAGAGCCUGAAUCAGCAUGUGUGUUAGUGGAAGCGUCUGGAAAGGCGCGCGAUACAGGGUGACAGCCCCGUACACAAAAGCGCAUAUGCUGUGAGCUCGAUGAGUAGGGCGGGACACGUGGUAUCCUGUCUGAAUAUGGGGGGACCAUCCUCCAAGGCUAAAUACUCCUGACUGACCGAUAGUGAACCAGUACCGUGAGGGAAAGGCGAAAAGAACCCCGGCGAGGGGAGUGAAAAAGAACCUGAAACCGUGUACGUACAAGCAGUGGGAGCCCCACCACUAAGCCAGUGGUGAACUCCACAUACGCAUCCUUUGCUGAGGAUACGGUUAACGGAGCGAAAGCGACGUUCAACCUCAAAAGAAGCAGAGGGGGCUUAGUGGUGGGGUGACUGCGUACCUUUUGUAUAAUGGGUCAGCGACUUAUAUUCUGUAGCAAGGUUAACCGAAUAGGGGAGCCGGAGGGAAACCGAGUCUUAAUUGGGCGUUAAGUUGCAGGGUAUAGACCCGAAACCCGGUGAUCUAGCCAUGGGCAGGUUGAAGGUUGGGUAACACUAACUGGAGGACCGAACCGACUAAUGUUGAAAAAUUAGCGGAUGACCUGUGGCUGGGGGUGAAAGGCCAAUCAAACCGGGAGAUAGCUGGUUCUCCCCGAAAGCUAUUUAGGUAGCGCCUCGUGAAUUCAUCUCCGGGGGUAGAGCACUGUUUCGGCUAGGGGGCCAUCCCGGCUUACCAACCCGAUGCAAACUGCGAAUACCGGAGAAUGUUAUCACGGGAGACACACGGCGGGUGCUAACGUCCGUCGUGAAGAGGGAAACAACCCAGACCGCCAGCUAAGGUCCCAAAGUCAUGGUUAAGUGGGAAACGAUGUGGGAAGGCCCAGACAGCCAGGAUGUUGGCUUAGAAGCAGCCAUCAUUUAAAGAAAGCGUAAUAGCUCACUGGUCGAGUCGGCCUGCGCGGAAGAUGUAACGGGGCUAAACCAUGCACCGAAGCUGCGGCAGCGACGCUGAUGCGUUGUUGGGUAGGGGAGCGUUCUGUAAGCCUGUGAAGGUGGCCUGUGAGGGUUGCUGGAGGUAUCAGAAGUGCGAAUGCUGACAUAAGUAACGAUAAAGCGGGUGAAAAGCCCGCUCGCCGGAAGACCAAGGGUUCCUGUCCAACGUUAAUCGGGGCAGGGUGAGUCGACCCCUAAGGCGAGGCCGAAAGGCGUAGUCGAUGGGAAACGGGUUAAUAUUCCCGUACUUGGUGUUACUGCGAAGGGGGGACGGAGAAGGCUAUGUUGGCCGGGCGACGGUUGUCCCGGUUUAAGCGUGUAGGCUGGUUUUCCAGGCAAAUCCGGAAAAUCAAGGCUGAGGCGUGAUGACGAGGCACUACGGUGCUGAAGCAACAAAUGCCCUGCUUCCAGGAAAAGCCUCUAAGCAUCAGGUAACAUCAAAUCGUACCCCAAACCGACACAGGUGGUCAGGUAGAGAAUACCAAGGCGCUUGAGAGAACUCGGGUGAAGGAACUAGGCAAAAUGGUGCCGUAACUUCGGGAGAAGGCACGCUGACAUGUAGGUGAAGUGAUUUACUCAUGGAGCUGAAGUCAGUCGAAGAUACCAGCUGGCUGCAACUGUUUAUUAAAAACACAGCACUGUGCAAACACGAAAGUGGACGUAUACGGUGUGACGCCUGCCCGGUGCCGGAAGGUUAAUUGAUGGGGUCAGCGCAAGCGAAGCUCCUGAUCGAAGCCCCGGUAAACGGCGGCCGUAACUAUAACGGUCCUAAGGUAGCGAAAUUCCUUGUCGGGUAAGUUCCGACCUGCACGAAUGGCGUAAUGAUGGCCAGGCUGUCUCCACCCGAGACUCAGUGAAAUUGAACUCGCUGUGAAGAUGCAGUGUACCCGCGGCAAGACGGAAAGACCCCGUGAACCUUUACUAUAGCUUGACACUGAACAUUGAGCCUUGAUGUGUAGGAUAGGUGGGAGGCUUUGAAGUGUGGACGCCAGUCUGCAUGGAGCCGACCUUGAAAUACCACCCUUUAAUGUUUGAUGUUCUAACGUGGACCCGUAAUCCGGGUUGCGGACAGUGUCUGGUGGGUAGUUUGACUGGGGCGGUCUCCUCCUAAAGAGUAACGGAGGAGCACGAAGGUUGGCUAAUCCUGGUCGGACAUCAGGAGGUUAGUGCAAUGGCAUAAGCCAGCUUGACUGCGAGCGUGACGGCGCGAGCAGGUGCGAAAGCAGGUCAUAGUGAUCCGGUGGUUCUGAAUGGAAGGGCCAUCGCUCAACGGAUAAAAGGUACUCCGGGGAUAACAGGCUGAUACCGCCCAAGAGUUCAUAUCGACGGCGGUGUUUGGCACCUCGAUGUCGGCUCAUCACAUCCUGGGGCUGAAGUAGGUCCCAAGGGUAUGGCUGUUCGCCAUUUAAAGUGGUACGCGAGCUGGGUUUAGAACGUCGUGAGACAGUUCGGUCCCUAUCUGCCGUGGGCGCUGGAGAACUGAGGGGGGCUGCUCCUAGUACGAGAGGACCGGAGUGGACGCAUCACUGGUGUUCGGGUUGUCAUGCCAAUGGCACUGCCCGGUAGCUAAAUGCGGAAGAGAUAAGUGCUGAAAGCAUCUAAGCACGAAACUUGCCCCGAGAUGAGUUCUCCCUGAGACUUUAGGUCUCCUGAAGGAACGUUGAAGACGACGACGUUGAUAGGCCGGGUGUGUAAGCGCAGCGAUGCGUUGAGCUAACCGGUACUAAUGAACCGUGAGGCUUAACCUU
Molecule: ribosomal RNA, 3003 nt
Filed under: Salmonella enterica subsp. enterica
Lineage: Bacteria; Pseudomonadati; Pseudomonadota; Gammaproteobacteria; Enterobacterales; Enterobacteriaceae
Description: bacterial LSU rRNA
Rfam family: Bacterial large subunit ribosomal RNA
Source: RNAcentral